Molecule: ribosomal RNA, 293 nt
Filed under: Listeria monocytogenes
Lineage: Bacteria; Bacillati; Bacillota; Bacilli; Caryophanales; Listeriaceae
Description: partial 16S ribosomal RNA
Rfam family: Bacterial small subunit ribosomal RNA
Source: RNAcentral
AGGGGGGUAGAAUUCCAGGUGUAGCGGUGAAAUGCGUAGAGAUCUGGAGGAAUACCGGUGGCGAAGGCGGCCCCCUGGACGAUAACUGACGCUGAGGCGCGAAAGCGUGGGGAGCAAACAGGAUUAGAUACCCUGGUAGUCCACGCCGUAAACGAUGUCGACUUGGAGGUUGUGCCCUUGAGGCGUGGCUUCCGGAGCUAACGCGUUAAGUCGACCGCCUGGGGAGUACGGCCGCAAGGUUAAAACUCAAAUGAAUUGACGGGGGCCCGCACAAGCGGUGGAGCAUGUGGUUU